RNAcentral lists this long non-coding RNA (1863 nucleotides) under Bemisia tabaci. RNAcentral describes it as "lncRNA ENSASIAIIG005457". Lineage: Eukaryota; Metazoa; Arthropoda; Insecta; Hemiptera; Aleyrodidae. The record is from RNAcentral.
AUGGAGUGCACUUGCAGCAGCGUCAAUGAAGGGAACGGUUGUGGAUUGGCGGUGGACGGUGACACAAGUACGUUCUGGCAUAGCAAGUUUAAACCAGAAGAUGAGCCUUUACCGCACACUUUCACGAUUGACUUGGGAGAAGUCACGCUCGUAAAUGGCAUGGCAAUGGUGUCACGACAAGACGGUAGCAACCAUGGACGCGUGUAUAUGCACGAAAUCCGAUGCGAUGAUAAGCUUGUCGCGUACGGUACGUGGGCUGCGGAUGAGUUUGAGAAGUUCUCCACCUUCCAGCCUAUAGGGUGCCGCAAAGUCAGUCUUACUCACACGAAAGGGGUAGACGAUCAACCGUGGACUUGCAUAGCUGAGUUGAAAUUCUUUAAACCAGACGCCGCAGCUACGAAGGAUACAACGCUGGGAGCUUGGCUUCACACCAUCGAUAUGCCUAUGGUUCCUACCGCCUGCGCCGUAAAUCACAAAGGGCAGGUCAUAGCAUGGGCCUCCUGGACGGGUGACCAAUUCACAAAUGGUCCAGGUGGUAAAACGAUAACUAGCGUCGUGGAUAUGGAAAAAAUGACGGUCACAGAACGCAUGGUCACCGAAACGGAUCAUGACAUGUUCUGUCCUGGUAUUUCCACGGGCCAACACGGAGUUAUGCUUGUGACUGGUGGUAACAACGCUGCUAAAACAAGCAUAUACAAAAUGGAGGACGACACCUGGAGCCCGGCGCCGGACAUGACCAUUUCGCGCGGCUAUCCCGCUUCCACCACCUGCUCGGACGGAAGAAUGUUCGUGAUCGGCGGAUCGUGGAGCGGUGGCGAAGGCGGCAAGAACGGAGAAAUAUUCGACCUCGACACAAGACAGUGGACUGAACUUCCAGGGUGUCGGGUGGACCCUAUGGUGACGGGCGACAGGCAAGGUGUCUACCGGGGAGAUAACCAUGGUUGGCUGUUCGGCUGGAAAGGUAACACCGUGUUCCAGGCUGGUCCGAGCAAGAAUAUGAACUGGUACUCGGUCGACGGUAAGGGUGCCGUUAAGGGUGCCGGCACACGGGCCAAUGACAAUGACGCCAUGUGUGGUACCGCUGUGAUGUGGGAUGAAGGCGAAAUCUGCACUUUCGGCGGAUCACCUGAUUACACUGACUCGGAGGCCUCACAAAAUGCGUUCUGCAUGACCAUCAAAGACCCCAACACGAAUGUAGACGUCCGCGCCGUGACAAACAUGGCCUUCCGACGCAUCUUCCACAACGCUGUGGUCAUGCCGGAUGGUAACAUUUGGAUUUGCUGCGGACAGGAAGUUGGCCAGCCGUUCAGCGAUGAUAAAUCUCACACUAUACCGGAAAUCUACAAUCCUAAGGACAAUACGAUGAAGCAACUUUCACCGGGUAACGUUCCUCGUAACUACCACUCGACCGCCGUUCUUCUUAAGGACGGUUGUAUCGCAUCAGGUGGAAGCGGCUUGUGCGGAACCUGCACCACGAACCACCCCAACUUCCAAGUUUACUGUCCUCCGUAUCAUUUCGACAAGGAUGGAAAUGAAGCAGUCCGACCUAAGAUCAUCAGUAUGUCAACUGAGAACGCAGUACACGGAGAUACAGUUACGAUGACAACCGAUAGUGAAGUAGCAAGUGCGUGCAUAAUACGUUUAGGCAGCACUACACACACUGUAAAUACCGAUCAAAGGCGAAUUUCGUUAAAGGUAGAAAAACAACAACAAAGAAACGGGGACCCCUUUACGUGGUCCUUUAAGGUGCCUGACGACCCUGGUGUUUGUAUUCCGGGCUAUUACUGGUUGUUCAUGCUCAACCAUCAAAAAGUACCGUGUAAUGCGAGGAUAAUGCACGUGGGACUUAAGAAAAAGAAUUGA